CCAAUCGAACCCGGAGAUAGCUGGUUCUCCUCGAAAUAGCUUUAGGGCUAGCCUCAUGAGAGUCUUAUGGAGGUAGAGCACUGAAUUGCCUAGGGGGCGUCAAAGCUUACCAAAGCAUAUCAAACUCCGAAUGCCAUCAAGAUGAUUCAUGGGAGUCAGACCAUACGAGAUAAGUUGGAUGGUCAAAAGGGAAAGAGCCCAGACCUACAGCUAAGGUCCCAAAGUACGUGUUAAGUGGAAAAGGAUGUGGGGAUUCUAAGACAACUAGGACGUUGGCUUAGAAGCAGCCAUUCAUUGAAAGAGUGCGUAAUAGCUCACUAGUCGAGAGUCCCUGCGCCGAAAAUGUCCGGGGCUGAAACACGACACCGAAGCUUAGGAAUGUGUAAACAUUGGUAGAGGAGCAUUGCUAGCGGGAUGAAGCCAUACCGUAAGGAGUGGUGGACUGCUAGGAAGAGAGAAUGCCGGAAUGAGUAGCGAGAUGAAGGUGAGAAUCCUUCAGGCCGAAUAUCUAAGGUUUCCAGAGUAAAGCUGAUCUGCUCUGGGUAAGUCGGGACCUAAGGCGAGGUCGAAAGACGUAGUCGAUGGAUAACAGGUUGAAAUUCCUGUACCGCAUAUAAACAGAACUGUGGGGACACAGACAGGGAAUGGAAUCCGGGAAUGGAUAUCCCGGUGCAAGCGAGGUAGGAGUGCUGUUGGCAAAUCCGCAGCACGAUCUGAAGACGUGACGCGUACCGAACAUAAGUAGGGAAGUCCAGGCCCCUGGCUGUCAAGAAAAGCCGCUAUCGUUUUAUAUGUGCCCGUACCGCAAACCGACACAGGUGGAUGAGGAGAGAAUCCUAAGGCCGACGGGAGAAGUAUUGUUAAGGAACUCGGCAAAAUGACUCCGUAACUUCGGGAGAAGGAGUGCCAUGAGAGUGGCCGCAGAGAAAUGGCCCAAGCAACUGUUUAGCAAAAACACAGGUCUAUGCAAAACCGCAAGGUGAAGUAUAUGGGCUGACGCCUGCCCGGUGCUGGAAGGUUAAGGGGAGAGGUUAGCGCAAGCGAAGCUUUGAACUUAAGCCCCAGUAAACGGCGGCCGUAACUAUAACGGUCCUAAGGUAGCGAAAUUCCUUGUCGGGUAAG
Molecule: ribosomal RNA, 1122 nt
Filed under: human gut metagenome
Description: bacterial LSU rRNA
Rfam family: Bacterial large subunit ribosomal RNA
Source: RNAcentral